GAUGAACGCUAGCUACAGGCUUAACACAUGCAAGUCGAGGGGAAACGAUAUUGGAAGCUUGCUUCCGAUAGGCGUCGACCGGCGCACGGGUGAGUAACGCGUAUCCAACCUGCCCACCACUUGGGGAUAACCUUGCGAAAGUAAGACUAAUACCCGAUGAUAUCCCUAGAAGACAUCUGAAAGGGAUUAAAGAUUUAUCGGUGAUGGAUGGGGAUGCGUCUGAUUAGCUUGUUGGCGGGGUAACGGCCCACAAGGCAACGAUCAGUAGGGGUUCUGAGAGGAAGGUCCCCCCANAUUGGAACUGAGACACGGUCCAAACUCCUACGGGGAGGCAGCAGUGAGGAAUAUUGGUCAAUGGGCGAGAGCCUGAACCAGCCAAGUAGCGUGCAGGACGACGGGCCCCUAUGGGGUUGUAAACUGC
RNAcentral lists this ribosomal RNA (421 nucleotides) under uncultured bacterium. RNAcentral describes it as "bacterial SSU rRNA". It matches the Rfam family "Bacterial small subunit ribosomal RNA", at positions 28 to 433 of the family's 1533-position model. The record is from RNAcentral.